RNAcentral lists this transfer RNA (72 nucleotides) under Dipodomys ordii (Ord's kangaroo rat). It matches the Rfam family "tRNA". Rfam says of the family: Transfer RNA (tRNA) molecules are approximately 80 nucleotides in length. Their secondary structure includes four short double-helical elements and three loops (D, anti-codon, and T loops). The record is from Rfam by way of RNAcentral. Lineage: Eukaryota; Metazoa; Chordata; Mammalia; Rodentia; Heteromyidae.
GGAAGUAUGGCUCAGUGGUAGAGCACUUGCCUAGAAAUCGUGAGGCUCUGAGUUUAAGCCCUAGUACUUCCC